GUAUAGCAGAGGCUGGGAACCUCAGGGGGCCAACUUAGAAUUCUACCUACCACAGGUUUCAAUAAUAAGUAAGAGUUUCUUCUUCUCCCAAGAAGGGUUUGGAAGAUCUGUAUUCCUGAACUGCUGCAAGCUUGAGAAACUUGUCUAAUAACUAGAAUGGAGCCCUAGGGAACAGCGAGCCCGGGUGAUACUUUUCUGUCUCCUCUGGUAUGCAGCAAUGUUUGGCCCUGAGCUAACAUCUGCUGCCAAUCCUUUCUUUUUGGCUGAGGAAGACUGGCCCUGAACUCCGUGCCCGUCUUCCUCUACUUUCUAUGUGGGAUGCCUACCAGAGCAUGGCUUUUGCCAAGCGGUGCCAUGUCUGCACCCGGGAUCCGAAACGGCGAACCCCAGGCCGCAGAAGCGGAAUGUGCACACUUAACUGCUGCACCACCAGCCGGCCUCUCAAGUUAACACAUUUUAAAGAUAGAGUUAAGAAUUAUUCCCAUUAACCUCACUUCUUAAUGCACAGUAGCCAAUUAAUAAAUAUUGACCAAUCAUUCUA
RNAcentral lists this long non-coding RNA (541 nucleotides) under Equus caballus (horse). Its description in RNAcentral is "lncRNA (ENSECAG00000058235.1)". The record is from RNAcentral. Lineage: Eukaryota; Metazoa; Chordata; Mammalia; Perissodactyla; Equidae.